This 421-nucleotide unclassified non-coding RNA is filed under the name soil metagenome. RNAcentral describes it as "partial contains 5.8S ribosomal RNA, internal transcribed spacer 2, and large subunit ribosomal RNA". The stretch from base 1 to 120 matches the Rfam family "5.8S ribosomal RNA", at positions 35 to 154 of the family's 154-position model. The record is from RNAcentral.
GAUGAAGAACGUAGCGAAAUGCGAUACGUAAUGUGAAUUGCAGAAUUCAGUGAAUCAUCGAAUCUUUGAACGCAUAUUGCGCUGUUUGGUAUUCCGAAGAGCAUGCUUGUUUGAGUAUCAGUAAACACCUCAACCUCUUCUUGAUUUUUCAAAAGGAGGGUGGACUUGAGCUAUCCCAACAACCUUUACCGGUCGGCGGGCGGCUUGAAAUGCAGGUGCAGCUGGACUUUUAUCUGAGCUAAAAGCAUAUCUAUUUAGUCCUCGUCAAACAGGAUUAUUACUUUUGCUGCAGCUAACAUAAAGGAUAAUUGUCCUAUUUGCUGACUGAUGCAGGAUUUUACGACACUUUAUGUGUUGUUCAACUCGAUCUCAAAUCAAGUAAGACUACCCGCUGAACUUAAGCAUAUCAAUAAGCGGAGGA